ACCUUCCAGUCGUGCGCCUGAGGAGCCUGAGGAUUCUCUUGCUACACACCUAUUCUCCACAUGUAGGGUGGUAAGGCGUCCACACCCAGCGUUCUGUAGGCGAGCUCUCAGUUUGGAAUGACCUGUUUUUUUCAUGUCCAAAACCUCAUCUGCAAUUGCUUUUGAGAUUCAGUCUACAAGCAGCCGUGUUGAAGAUACAUAACUGCAAUUUAAAACAAAUGUGCUUGGGGUCUGUUUGUUUUGCUUUCAGGCAGAAGAGUAUUUUCAGUGGAAUAAGUUACCCUGUGGCAUGGCUUCCAAAACUAAAACUGUACUCCACACAAUCAGCAUCAAGCCAUCUACCAUGUGGUUUGGAGAGAGGACCAGAAAAACAAACGUGAUUGUGAGAACCGGAGAGAGCUCAUACAGAGCUUGCUUCUCUUUCCACUCCUCCUACAGUGAGGUAAGAGUCCCCGUCAGCGCCUAACUCAGGGGAGGCUACAUGUAAGCGCAUGUAUGUGGAGUGAGUGUAUGCGCAGGUGAGUGGAG
This 528-nucleotide long non-coding RNA is filed under the name Rattus norvegicus (Norway rat). RNAcentral's name for it is "long non-coding RNA NONRATT013128". The record is from RNAcentral. Lineage: Eukaryota; Metazoa; Chordata; Mammalia; Rodentia; Muridae.